RNAcentral lists this ribosomal RNA (440 nucleotides) under uncultured bacterium. Its description in RNAcentral is "partial 16S ribosomal RNA". It matches the Rfam family "Bacterial small subunit ribosomal RNA", at positions 338 to 795 of the family's 1533-position model. The record is from RNAcentral.
CCUACGGGUGGCAGCAGUGGGGAAUAUUGCACAAUGGGGGAAACCCUGAUGCAGCGACGCCGCGUGAGUGAAGAAGUAAUUCGUUAUGUAAAGCUCUAUCAGCAGGGAAGCAAAUGACGGUACCUGUGUAAGAAGCCCCGGCUUACUACGUGCCAGCAGCCGCGGUAAUACGUGGGGGGCAAGCGUGAUCCGGAUUUACCGGGCGUAAAGGGAGCGUAGGCGGGAGUGCAAGUCUGGAGUGAAAGGCGUGGGGUCAACCCCCGGAGUGCUCUGGAAACUGGACGGCUGGAGUGCGGGAGAGGUACGUGGAAUUCGUGGUGUAGCGGUGAAAUGCGUAGAUAUUAGGAAGAACACCGGUGGCGAAGGCGGCGUACUGGACUGUAACUGACGUUGAGGCACGAAAGCGUGGGGAGCGAACAGGAUUAGAUACCCGGGUAGUC